RNAcentral lists this ribosomal RNA (468 nucleotides) under uncultured bacterium. RNAcentral describes it as "partial 16S ribosomal RNA". It matches the Rfam family "Bacterial small subunit ribosomal RNA", at positions 28 to 507 of the family's 1533-position model. The record is from RNAcentral.
GACGAACGCUGGCGGCGUGCUUAACACAUGCAAGUCGAACGGAAAGGCCCUGCUUUUGUGGGGUGCUCGAGUGGCGAACGGGUGAGUAACACGUGAGUAACCUGCCCUUGACUUUGGGAUAACUUCAGGAAACUGGGGCUAAUACCGGAUAGGAGCUCCUGCUGCAUGGUGGGGGUUGGAAAGUUUCGGCGGUUGGGGAUGGACUCGCAGCUUAUCAGCUUGUUGGUGGGGUAGUGGCUUACCAAGGCUUUGACGGGUAGCCGGCCUGAGAGGGUGACCGGCCACAUUGGGACUGAGAUACGGCCCAGACUCCUACGGGAGGCAGCAGUGGGGAAUAUUGCACAAUGGGCGGAAGCCUGAUGCAGCAACGCCGCGUGCGGGAUGACGGCCUUCGGGUUGUAAACCGCUUUCGCCUGUGACGAAGCGUGAGUGGCGGUAAUGGGUAAAGAAGCACCGGCUAACUACGUG